RNAcentral lists this ribosomal RNA (733 nucleotides) under Bacillus subtilis. Its description in RNAcentral is "bacterial SSU rRNA". It matches the Rfam family "Bacterial small subunit ribosomal RNA", at positions 44 to 760 of the family's 1533-position model. The record is from RNAcentral. Lineage: Bacteria; Bacillati; Bacillota; Bacilli; Caryophanales; Bacillaceae.
GGUGCUAUACAUGCAAGUCGAGCGGACAGAUGGGAGCUUGCUCCCUGAUGUUAGCGGCGGACGGGUGAGUAACACGUGGGUAACCUGCCUGUAAGACUGGGAUAACUCCGGGAAACCGGGGCUAAUACCGGAUGGUUGUUUGAACCGCAUGGUUCAAACAUAAAAGGUGGCUUCGGCUACCACUUACAGAUGGACCCGCGGCGCAUUAGCUAGUUGGUGAGGUAACGGCUCACCAAGGCAACGAUGCGUAGCCGACCUGAGAGGGUGAUCGGCCACACUGGGACUGAGACACGGCCCAGACUCCUACGGGAGGCAGCAGUAGGGAAUCUUCCGCAAUGGACGAAAGUCUGACGGAGCAACGCCGCGUGAGUGAUGAAGGUUUUCGGAUCGUAAAGCUCUGUUGUUAGGGAAGAACAAGUACCGUUCGAAUAGGGCGGUACCUUGACGGUACCUAACCAGAAAGCCACGGCUAACUACGUGCCAGCAGCCGCGGUAAUACGUAGGUGGCAAGCGUUGUCCGGAAUUAUUGGGCGUAAAGGGCUCGCAGGCGGUUUCUUAAGUCUGAUGUGAAAGCCCCCGGCUCAACCGGGGAGGGUCAUUGGAAACUGGGGAACUUGAGUGCAGAAGAGGAGAGUGGAAUUCCACGUGUAGCGGUGAAAUGCGUAGAGAUGUGGAGGAACACCAGUGGCGAAGGCGACUCUCUGGUCUGUAACUGACGCUGAGGAGCGAAAGC